Molecule: long non-coding RNA, 1636 nt
Organism: Temnothorax curvispinosus
Lineage: Eukaryota; Metazoa; Arthropoda; Insecta; Hymenoptera; Formicidae
Exons: 2
Source: RefSeq, a predicted model, not a curated record
AAUGACUGCAUUCCGAUAUUUACUACCAAUACUGAAAAUCUAUAGUGUACGUUGGGGACAGAAAGGUUGUCCGGUUGAGUUUCGGAAUGCAUCCCAUUCAGAAGUGGAUAAGCACUAAUGAGCACACAGCUUGCGCAAUAAUUCAUUAUAAGAGCAGACAAAUAAGAUGUCAAAUAUAUUGAAAUGUUACAAAAAUUGGUAAUUGCUGAUGACAUAGUAACUAGAUAUUAAAUAUAUAGAAUGCGGGACUAACUGGACAAUUUUUCUGUUUCCACCUGUACACUACAGAUUUUCAGUACUAGUAGUAAAUAUCGAAAAUGCAGUCAUUAUCAACUGUGACAUUUAUCAACCAAAAACACGACGUGACUAAUUUAGAUAUAACUAAAACUGCGUUCUGAAAAUGUGCGUAUAGUGUACGUGAUUUAUUCGAGUAAACAAAUUUUCAGUACUGGCAGUAAGUACCGGACGCAGUUAUAGCCUUUUGGUCGCUGAUCGAACAGUCAUCAUUAUUUCGCAGAAUGGUGCAGCAAGAGGCGGUGGUAGUAAGGAAUGCCGUGAAGCGUUAUGGAAAAGGACAGCCGGUGCUCGACGGUUUGAAUAUGACGGUUUCACGGGGUAUCGUGUAAGUAACCAUUAUUUAUCAUGUCAAUGCAAAAGAUUAAUGGCGUUUUCGAUUUACUACUCGACCCGACUCGGGUCGCAUCAAUGGACGUGGAAUACAUAAAUAGAUAUGUAUGUAUUCCACGUCAAUGAUUCUAGAGUCCUGUAUACAUGAUGCGACCCGAGUCGGUUUGAGUCGCAAAUCGAAAACGCUAUAAUCGUCUUCGCUAUCAAUUUCCGCUUUGAAUGAAAUUGUAAACGAACAAUCCGAGUUUUUCAAAAAAAGUCAUCGAGAAGAUACUCCCUAGGGAGAGAAAACAAUGCAACAAAGAUUGCAUUAAUGAUUAAUAUGUACUCGUGAUUACUUGCGCGAUUUUUAAUGUCAUUCAGCAAACCUAUAUACAGCAUAUCUUUUGCGGUAACAUGAUACUAAUUUCUUCAUCUUUCGAUAUAUGUUGGAAAUUGCCUCAAACUGUCGUCACGCACUUUUCCGCGUACAUUUACCGAUUGCUUAAAUUGCCGUUGCUUGCAAAAUGCAUGAAAAGAUAAUUGUAUAAUUUUUUAACGAAUAUUCAGUCAAGAAAAUCUUUCAGGACUUAUCAGAAUCAUUAGAAUAUUAUUUAAAACUUGUGUCUAAUUUUUAAGGUAAUUUUAUUUAUACAUUCUAUGGUAACGCUUCUCUAACCGCUAGCCAAAUACUUGUUAAUAAUUCGUUAGGAUUAGGGCUUAUGUGAGAAAAUAAAAAUGUGUUAGGCAUAUACUUAGCGUUGUGUAACAUUAGACACAAACGCGCGCAUCAUACGCACAAAUUUCAAGGCGCAAUAGAAAAUUAAUAGACGGAUUUAUGAUUCUCGAUAAUUUCCGAGCCGAAAUAAGAUUCUUAUUUCAAUGCAUGAAUAAUCUGUAAAACUCGAUAUGUUCAAUAACAAUUUAUAAGACUAUGUAUAACUAUUAGUGAUCUUAGUCAUCUAACGACUACACGUGUCGACUUGUCAAAAAAUAUAUGUUUUGUAGUAAAUAAAUCUUGAAAUUUUUA